Bos taurus (domestic cattle) is the source of this 602-nucleotide long non-coding RNA. Lineage: Eukaryota; Metazoa; Chordata; Mammalia; Artiodactyla; Bovidae. The record is from Ensembl.
GAUUCAGCAGAUCAUUUCUCAACCUUCUUGUUAAUGAGCAAACAAGCUUCAUUAAAGCCACGUUGAGCUGGGUUUCUCUCAUCUCCCCAGUCCUCCAUGCUGGAAACCUCUUCUGUAUCCUGCUCCUCACCGGCUACGUCCACUGGCACUAGGGCAUUCAUUCACUUGCUCACUCACUCAUUCAGUCACAUUUUUGAGUGCCCUGAUCUAGGAUCUACUGAUACAGGCAGGCCCCUGUGCUGCGUCUCUGCCAUGUCAGUAGUGAGAGACGGAUCGAGUUACCAGGACACGCAGUGACUUCAGACAGGGUGACGGGAUAGAGGGUUGGGCAGCCGCUCCUUUAAAUCACAAGGUCAGGAACUGGCUCUCUUGUGCGGGGACACUGACGUUAAAAAUGGAACGAGGAGCAAAAGGAAAAGGAAAGCAUUUCAAGCUGAGAAAACAAGUACCAAGGUCCUGAGGUUGGAUGAAAGGAAGGAGGCAUUGAUCCAGGCUGUAGAAACAAUUAAAAGUUGAAUGAAUUAAAGAGAAAAUUUGCACUCCAGGAAGAUGUGCCAUGUUUCUUCUCUAGGAUUUACUGAUACCCCAACACACUGCCACUA